CAAGUCGAGCGAGAAAGGCCUUCGGGCUGAGUACAGCGGCGGACGGGUGAGUAACGCGUAGGAAUCUACCUGGUAGUGGGGGACAACAUGGGGAAACUCAUGCUAAUACCGCAUACGCCCUAUGGGGGAAAGCGGGGGACCUUCGGGCCUCGCGCUAUCAGAUGAGCCUGCGUAGGAUUAGCUUGUUGGUGAGGUAAAGGCUCACCAAGGCGACGAUCCUUAGCUGGUCUGAGAGGAUGAUCAGCCACACUGGAACUGAGACACGGUCCAGACUCCUACGGGAGGCAGCAGUGGGGAAUAUUGCGCAAUGGGCGAAAGCCUGACGCAGCCAUGCCGCGUGUGUGAAGAAGGCCUUAGGGUUGUAAAGCACUUUCAAUUGGGAAGAAAGGUUGCGUGUUAAUAGCACGUAGCUGUGACGUUACCUUUAGAAGAAGCACCGGCUAACUCCGUGCCAGCAGCCGCGGUAAUACGGAGGGUGCGAGCGUUAAUCGGAAUUACUGGGCGUAAAGCGCGCGUAGGCGGUUUGUUAAGUCGGAUGUGAAAGCCCCGGGCUCAACCUGGGAAUUGCCUUCGAUACUGGCCGACUAGAGUACGAGAGAGGGAGGUAGAAUUCCACGUGUAGCGGUGAAAUGCGUAGAUAUGUGGAGGAAUACCGGUGGCGAAGGCGGCCUCCUGGCUCGAUACUGACGCUGAGGUGCGAAAGCGUGGGUAGCAAACAGGAUUAGAUACCCUGGUAGUCCACGCCGUAAACGAUGUCUACUAGCCGUUGGGAGACUUGAUUUCUUAGUGGCGCAGCUAACGCACU
Molecule: ribosomal RNA, 805 nt
Filed under: Parahaliea mediterranea
Lineage: Bacteria; Pseudomonadati; Pseudomonadota; Gammaproteobacteria; Cellvibrionales; Halieaceae
Description: bacterial SSU rRNA
Rfam family: Bacterial small subunit ribosomal RNA
Source: RNAcentral